UUCUUUUAGUUUAUGUGAAAAGUAAAACCUGCCCACUGAUUAAUUUUGAAGGGCCGCGGUAUUUUGACCGUGCAAAGGUAGCAUAAUCAUUAGCCUUUUAAUUAGAGGAUGGAAUGAAUGGUUUAACUUUAAUAAAUUUUAUUAGUUUUAAGUAAAUGAAAUUUGAUUGUAAGUGAAAAUACUUAUAUAUUCCUAUAAGACGAUAAGACCCUAUAGAUCUUUAUUCUGGAUUUUAUUAGAUAAUUUGGGGGAGUUAUUUGGUAAGAGAAAGAUUUUAGCUGGGGCAGUUUAAGAAAUAAAAUAAACUUCUUAAGAAAUAAUUUAAUAAAAAUUUUUUGAUCUUACUUAAUAAAUUGAAAAAGUUACCUUAGGGAUAACAGCGUAAUUAAUUUAGAGAGCCCAUAUCGAUAAAUUGGAUUGCGACCUCGAUGUUGAAUUAAGAAACCUUUUUAGGGCAGCUUUUAAAUAAGGUGGUUUGUUCAACCAUUAAAUUCUUACA
This 499-nucleotide ribosomal RNA is filed under the name Ceratophysella denticulata. Its description in RNAcentral is "partial 16S ribosomal RNA". It matches the Rfam family "Bacterial large subunit ribosomal RNA", at positions 1831 to 2600 of the family's 2925-position model. Lineage: Eukaryota; Metazoa; Arthropoda; Collembola; Poduromorpha; Hypogastruridae. The record is from RNAcentral.